RNA transcript from Amphimedon queenslandica, 598 nucleotides. It is a transcript of the gene named programmed cell death 6-interacting protein-like, with no coding region annotated. Lineage: Eukaryota; Metazoa; Porifera; Demospongiae; Haplosclerida; Niphatidae. The record is from RefSeq and is a predicted model, not a curated record. The transcript is spliced from 5 exons.
UUCUAGACUCAGAGGAUGCUUGACGAAGAAGAGAGAGAUGAUACAGCACUGAAGGAGAGAUUUGGCUCAAAAUGGAAGAGAACUACAUCAAAUGAACUGACACAGAGCAUUCGUGGUGAAGUGGCAAAAUUUCAAGGAAUUGUUGAAUCAGCAACUAAAGCUGAUUCAACUGUUAGAGAGAAAUUUGAGACACAUCGUCCGGCUAUUGUGACACUCACAAAGAGCGAGACUGACCCUGCCUAAAGCUGGUGCAGUGGCACUUAUGGCAGCCAUCAAAGCUGGAAGCCUAUCUGUCCAAGAGCUUUGUUCAUUGAUGGAGGAUGUGAAAACGAUAAAAGCUGAGAGAGAAGUGUUGGAGCAACAGCUAAAAGGGCCAAUUGCUGACAUUAACCCAGGGAUGCAAAGGAAACAAAAAGUCGUUGGAUAGAGAACUAGUGAAGCAGCCGAAGUGAACACAGUCUUGUCUUAAAGAAGCUGUGGAAAAAGCAACUUUACUGCUGUAAACAAAUAAGGCUCAUUAAUUUUUGCCAUACGGUGAUUAUGACGUCAAAAGUGACAUCACUGCAACCACUCUAUACAGUCAUACGAAUUCUCAUUU